AUGGCGGCGGUUCGGUGCGCGGCGAGGAAGCUCGGUUGCUCCCUGCUCCAGCGAACGCAGGCGGCGGUCAUGCAGGAGGGACGCCUGCUCGCGCCAAGCAGGCUCAUGCGCUCCCGCCAGCUCUCCAGCGAGGCCUCCAGCGAGGAAAAGAAAGUGGAGCUCCGCAAACUGGUAUCUAAGGCGAUGCAAAAGAGAGUGGAGCUGCUUGGUGAGCCUGAAAUGCGGCUACUACUCCAGAGAAUUUCUCUACCAAAAGGCACUCCAAAACCACAUGCCACUCCCUGGACCUGGGGGCGGUUCGCUACAAGGUUAAAGUGUUAUAUGGAGGCAGCUGCCAAUCUGACAGUCUUCCUUGCGGUUACUGCUUAUGUAGUUUGUGUCAAGGGCGACAGAGGGGUACAAGAACAAGUCCAGGGCGUUAACGAGGAAAACCAGUGA
Molecule: ribosomal RNA, 438 nt
Filed under: Triticum aestivum (bread wheat)
Lineage: Eukaryota; Viridiplantae; Streptophyta; Magnoliopsida; Poales; Poaceae
Description: partial small subunit ribosomal RNA
Source: RNAcentral